RNAcentral lists this ribosomal RNA (301 nucleotides) under uncultured bacterium. RNAcentral describes it as "partial 16S ribosomal RNA". It matches the Rfam family "Bacterial small subunit ribosomal RNA", at positions 509 to 807 of the family's 1533-position model. The record is from RNAcentral.
CAGUAGCCGCGGGAAUACGUAGGGUGCAAGCGUUAAUCGGAAUUACUGGGCGUAAAGCGUGCGCAGGCGGUGAUGUAAGACAGUUGUGAAAUCCCCGGGCUCAACCUGGGAACUGCAUCUGUGACUGCAUUGCUGGAGUGCGGCAGAGGGGGAUGGAAUUCCGCGUGUAGCAGUGAAAUGCGUAGAUAUGCGGAGGAACACCGAUGGCGAAGGCAAUCCCCUGGGCCUGCACUGACGCUCAUGCACGAAAGCGUGGGGAGCAAACAGGAUUAGAUACCCGCGUAGUCCCUGUCUCUUAUAC